AACGGGUUAUCCCCAUAUCUCGUCCGGUAUGAGCGUUAAAGUACCAAUCCUCCAUACCUCGUCCGAUAUGAAGUAACGUUUACGGUAGGAUUCCCUAUGUACCCGAUCUGUCCACCAUCUCCCAAGAUAUCCAGUAAGAUUACCAUUCAUUCAAUCACUUAAUCAAACAAUUUCUCGUUUACAUUUAAUUUUUAAUUUCACAAUUUAACUAUAAAUCACGCAGAACAAGCAAUACAUGCAUCAAGGAAAUACAACAAAUCAUCAUGCCAACUUCAGUGUAUUAUUAUGCAUUUGACACUGUAAAAUCAAUCAAACAGGAU
Molecule: long non-coding RNA, 320 nt
Filed under: Carica papaya (papaya)
Lineage: Eukaryota; Viridiplantae; Streptophyta; Magnoliopsida; Brassicales; Caricaceae
Description: long non-coding RNA (CPAP_LNC002427)
Source: RNAcentral